Molecule: long non-coding RNA, 2057 nt
Organism: Papaver somniferum (opium poppy)
Lineage: Eukaryota; Viridiplantae; Streptophyta; Magnoliopsida; Ranunculales; Papaveraceae
Exons: 2
Source: RefSeq, a predicted model, not a curated record
AAUUGGUAAACAUUCUGAACUUAUUGUUUAUGGGAGUGGGUUAUUUAUGGAUUCACAUAUCUUUUUGGGUGUUUAUAGUGUUUGCAGGUUCUUAUUUGCAGCUAACCUUAUAUGUUGGGUUGAUCCCCAACUUUUCAGACUUUAUAUAUAUGCUUGGCAGGUUGUUGUUUAUUAUCUUCACUUCAGUUGAGGUUACUUGUUGUGCGCAAGCAGGGAACAAAUAUCAUUCGCUUCGUAGGAGUCAACUCAUCAGUUUUGUUUCCUUGUACUCUAUCUUCUAUUUUUGUUUGCCUCUUGCAUAUCACGUUUUAGAAUUUCCCACCUUAACUUUACGUUGGAUGACUCAAUUACAUUGACGACAAUGUAAUGUUUAAGUGCGGGGGAAUGGUCAAGUAUAUAUAGAUUUGUGGUAGGAAUUCAAUUUCGGUAGAAUUUUUCAAAAAAAAAAAAAAGAUAAAAAAAGAUGUCUUGCGUGAAAUAACCAGCUGUGGAGCGGGUCUAUUUUUGUUUUCUUAUCAUAUUAUUACCAGCUGUGGAGCAGGUCUGUUCAAAAAAUAAAAGUGGUUUAUUCGAGCCUAUUGCAUUUCAUGACCAGCUGUGGAGCGGAUCUAUUUUUGUUUUAUUAUCAUAUUAUGACCAGCUGUGGAGCGAGUCUCUAAAGAAAACAUGAUGACCAGCUGUGGAGCGGGUCUUAAAUUUUGUGUAUGAUCAGCUGUGGAGCGGGUCUAAUUUCUGUUUUGCGCGGGACUAGCAAAAUGAAUUACAAGUGAAAUCCGAUCACCGGACCGAAAAAUGACCAAAGUGGAUGGCCUGGUAUCUUUAUAUAUCAGCACCCCUCAAUUCACUCAUGGCACUAAAUGGAGUUGGAGCUUAACCGGAGCUUGUGGGCUGGCAAGCCAACAACUUAUGGCCGCACCACUUAAGCGAUCAGAUAGCCAGGAGGUUGAGCAGAGAAAUCUCUUUGCCAAGCGUGUGAGCUGCACAAGAGAGUAAAUGGGUGACGUGGCUAGUUGCUAUACCACAUUUCUCUUUGUGGCCAUCGAAACAGCAUCAAUUGUUCUGUGUAAAAAAAAGAAUUUUAUUUCUCAUAGUUGCUGCUAAUUCAUCUUCAAUGACGAGAGAUCGAGACAACAGGGAGAGGGAAGAUGAGAAAAAUCAACAUAAAGGAACUCAGCAGCAACAGUAUUGGGUAUAAAUGGAGCUUCUCGACUGAGAAACAAAAGAAGCAACAAGAAGCAAUGGAUUUGAGGACUUCUACAACAUCAAUUGAAAUUAGGUCAUCAUAUGGAUCAAUUUCGGUGGUCAAUUGGGUGCCGAUUUAGUUGGUUUUAAGGCAAACAGUGAUAUUUUGGGUGAUUGCUGAAGUCGCAUGUUUCAGUCAUGAUUUCAAGCAGCCAGUGUUAAACUGAGACGGAAAUGGAGAUGGAUUCCAGGGGUGUUAGUGGUUAACGUUAAACAGAAUCAGAACUUGAAGGUGUUGUUCGAUUCAAUAUAUGGACUCAAGAUGGCUGAGAUUAUAAAUGGCGAAUGAAAUGAAGGGUGAUACAGUGGAUCUGUAAUGGAAAGAAUUGGUAGAUUUGGGUAGAAUCUGAUGCGGAGAAACAAAUGGGUUUGAUGUUCCAUAACAACAACAUGGAAUUGAAGAUUGAAAUCAGUACAUUUACAACAAUGAAUUUUUGGGAGUUUUAACUAUCGAUUGAAAUGGGGUUUGUGUUCUGUGGCAGUGUUGAAUGGAUUGAGAUUUUUGAAAAAUUGGUAGUCUGGUCGAGUUCUAGUGAUGACGGUGAAAGCUGGUUUGCACUAUGAACUGUUGGUAUACAAAGGAGGAAGAAUGAUCAGCAGGGGAAGGAAAGUGGCCAAGUUCAAUGAUGUAUUGAAGUCGAAUUUUGGGGCAAUCCGUGGCUGGCAUUAGGGUCUUCUAUCAACCCAGAUACAAUAUUGAUUGCAGACAAGUUCCAGAUAGGGUUAGCUAUUGCACGACAGCUGGAUUACUGCAUCGAUUCAUUGCUGUGGCUGUAUGAAGCUUCGAAGCUGAUUGACUGAGAGAUUAGAUGGAA